Non-coding RNA from Triticum aestivum (bread wheat), 124 nucleotides. The record is from Rfam. Lineage: Eukaryota; Viridiplantae; Streptophyta; Magnoliopsida; Poales; Poaceae.
UUAUUACUCCCUCCAUCCGGAAAUACUUGUCCUGAAAAUUGUUGUAUCUAGAUUUAUUUUAGUUAUAGAUACAUUCAUUUUAUUCAUUUCUGGGACAAGUAUUUCCGGACGGAGGAAGUACUUU